Lathyrus oleraceus (garden pea) is the source of this 903-nucleotide long non-coding RNA. RefSeq lists it as uncharacterized. NCBI's taxonomy places the organism in Eukaryota, Viridiplantae, Streptophyta, Magnoliopsida, Fabales, Fabaceae. The record is from RefSeq and is a predicted model, not a curated record. The transcript has 2 exons.
UUGACUCAGAAGGCCCAAAGGAUUGUUGUGGUUACAAGAGGGGGUGUGAAAGUGUGCAGUGGUGUGCAUAGCACCAAGCCUAGGUCAAGGGAUUUAGGCCACAACAGAUAAGCCAAAAGAGGAGGGUGACAGAUUCAUCAAUCUCACUUCAAAAUCCAUUCAGUUCCCUCAUCCACUAUGCCUAGCCACCAGAGUCCAGGACCUCGUCGCCCCGGAAAUGGCCUCCGGAGGCGGCGGAGGUCCAAACACCCUCAAAUUCACAUCAUCUGGUUUAUUUUAAUUCCCUCUUUCAUAAUCCCAACCUAUUUUUCUUUGACUCCUCACCAUCUCCCUAAAUCGACCCAAACGAAUUGUGAACCCUAAAAUUCCAAAAUGAAAUUAAAUGGAAGUGCAAGCUCAAAUAGGACUCAAACCUUAGGGGUUUGGUUCGUCCACUGCAAAGCUACAUUAUGGUAACAACAAUUGCAUAAGCUAAAGAGGAGAAGGCGUGACACCUACUAACGAGGACGAGAAUUUCCCAAAAAUUUGUUGGAAUGAAGAAGAUGAAGCCAAACGAUAAUUCCAGAGAAACUUCGAAGAGGGCUUGGCAUGGAAUGGUACAAGUUGGCAAGGCAUGGUGAUUAAGAGGUUUUGGAAUGGCAUGAAAGACUUGAUGCCACAAAUGGAGAAUCCAAUGGUAUGAAGACUAAAGUAGGCUAGGGGAUGAUUAGCUUGACUUUGGUCAACUGUUUUACCAAAAAUUCAAUAAUUGAUCAAAAGUCAACCUAGGUCAAAAUUAGGGUUUUCUUUGUGUGUGUGCUUUAUAAAUUUGGAUUUUGUAAUGUAUUUUUGGUGUGUUGACCAUGAAUUAUCCUUGUAUGGUUGUAAUUUGUUUUCCAAGCAAUGCAAAUGUUUUUCCCUCCA